Molecule: transfer RNA, 73 nt
Filed under: Acipenser sinensis (Chinese sturgeon)
Lineage: Eukaryota; Metazoa; Chordata; Actinopteri; Acipenseriformes; Acipenseridae
Description: tRNA-Asn
Rfam family: tRNA
About the family: Transfer RNA (tRNA) molecules are approximately 80 nucleotides in length. Their secondary structure includes four short double-helical elements and three loops (D, anti-codon, and T loops). Further hydrogen bonds mediate the characteristic L-shaped molecular structure. tRNAs have two regions of fundamental functional importance: the anti-codon, which is responsible for specific mRNA codon recognition, and the 3' end, to which the tRNAs corresponding amino acid is attached (by aminoacyl-tRNA synthetases). tRNAs cope with the degeneracy of the genetic code in two manners: having more than one tRNA (with a specific anti-codon) for a particular amino acid; and 'wobble' base-pairing, i.e. permitting non-standard base-pairing at the 3rd anti-codon position.
Source: RNAcentral
UAGAUGAAUGCUCGCUGGAUAGGGCACUUGGCUGUUAACUAAGAUUUUGUAGGAUCGAGGCCUUCUCAUCUAG